RNAcentral lists this ribosomal RNA (468 nucleotides) under uncultured bacterium. RNAcentral describes it as "partial 16S ribosomal RNA". It matches the Rfam family "Bacterial small subunit ribosomal RNA", at positions 28 to 507 of the family's 1533-position model. The record is from RNAcentral.
GACGAACGCUGGCGGCGUGCUUAACACAUGCAAGUCGAACGGAAAGGCCCUGCUUUUGUGGGGUGCUCGAGUGGCGAACGGGUGAGUAACACGUGAGUAACCUGCCCUUGACUUUGGGAUAACUUCAGGAAACUGGGGCUAAUACCGGAUAGGAGCUCCUGCUGCAUGGUGGGGGUUGGAAAGUUUCGGCGGUUGGGGAUGGACUCGCGGCUUAUCAGCUUGUUGGUGGGGUAGUGGCUUACCAAGGCUUUGACGGGUAGCCGGCCUGAGAGGGUGACCGGGCACAAUGGGACUGGGAUACGGCCCAGACUCCUACGGGGGGCAGCAGGUGGGAAUAUUUCACAAUGGGCGGAAGCCUGAUGCAGGAACGCCGCGUGCGGGAAGACGGCCUUUGGGUUGUAAACCCCUUUCGGCUGUGACGAAGCGGUAGUGACGGUAAUGGGUAAAGAAGCACCGGCUAACUACGUG